Molecule: long non-coding RNA, 672 nt
Organism: Corticium candelabrum
Lineage: Eukaryota; Metazoa; Porifera; Homoscleromorpha; Homosclerophorida; Plakinidae
Exons: 3
Source: RefSeq, a predicted model, not a curated record
CUAACCAAUGAAGGCAGGCAGGAAUCGUUAGGCUCCUCUUUGAACCAAGAAUCCCAAAACGAUGAGCUCAUGUCUUCAGUUGUCUGCAACACAUCUAAAUCUUCAUCAACGUCCUCAACGGAUGCAGGAGCAGCCAUUCAUCAUGUAAUGAAUGUACAAUGCGCCAACAUACGGGAUAUGGUAUAAAGCGCUGCAUUAGUAGUCCGAGGCUUCUCCGGUAUGCGUCUUGGCGCCUACGGAAAGCUUCCAGCAAUUAGCGUGUACCUUUCGUGGGGCAUUUGUUUUAAUCUGUUUUUGUUGUUUAACUUUGGAAUCGGUGAUCGCGGCAAAAGGAACCGGGCUAGAUUUCGUCAAGUAUUUAGCAAAUCUAAAGGUUCGUGACAGGACAAUGUGAGACAGGUGAUCCACUCAGUUGUUAAGAUGUAGCAAUGCUGACAAGUUUCAAUGACUUCUCAGUUUGAGGUCAAAAAAGUCAAUGGAGUUUUACUGCAUUUAAACUAAACUUAUAAAGACUGAUGUAAUGAGAUGUGUCUCAGUGUCCUACAUAUGGGCUUAGAUACCAUUGAAUGCAUUUCUGUAGUUUGUCAGUUUAUUGCUUGGAAUCUGUAUUUUGUUACAUUCAAAGAAUUAUUCACACAAGUUCAGUCAUUGCAUCUUGAUUGGUCUUGAAAG